This 549-nucleotide ribosomal RNA is filed under the name uncultured bacterium. RNAcentral describes it as "bacterial SSU rRNA". It matches the Rfam family "Bacterial small subunit ribosomal RNA", at positions 355 to 896 of the family's 1533-position model. The record is from RNAcentral.
UAGGGAAUCUUCGGCAAUGGACGGAAGUCUGACCGAGCAACGCCGCGUGAGUGAAGAAGGUUUUCGGAUCGUAAAGCUCUGUUGUAAGAGAAGAACGAGUGUGAGAGUGGAAAGUUCACACUGUGACGGUAUCUUACCAGAAAGGGACGGCUAACUACGUGCCAGCAGCCGCGGUAAUACGUAGGUCCCGAGCGUUGUCCGGAUUUAUUGGGCGUAAAGCGAGCGCAGGCGGUUAGAUAAGUCUGAAGUUAAAGGCUGUGGCUUAACCAUAGUACGCUUUGGAAACUGUUUAACUUGAGUGCAAGAGGGGAGAGUGGAAUUCCAUGUGUAGCGGUGAAAUGCGUAGAUAUAUGGAGGAACACCGGUGGCGAAAGCGGCUCUCUGGCUUGUAACUGACGCUGAGGCUCGAAAGCGUGGGGAGCAAACAGGAUUAGAUACCCUGGUAGUCCACGCCGUAACGAUGAGUGCUAGGUGUUAGACCCUUUCCGGGGUUCAGUGCCGUAGCUAACGCAUUAAGCACUCCGCCUGGGGAGUACGACCGCAAGGUUG